Molecule: long non-coding RNA, 2128 nt
Organism: Gasterosteus aculeatus aculeatus (three-spined stickleback)
Lineage: Eukaryota; Metazoa; Chordata; Actinopteri; Perciformes; Gasterosteidae
Source: Ensembl
CCCCCCCCCAACUUUCCAUUCAUCACAACAUGAUGCAGGUAUGAAUUUAGAUAAAAACAGCCUGGGCCCUUUGUGCCGGGAUCCCGCGGGAGGUGACUCGCGCUCGUCAUCGCGGGACGUCUGCAGCUCAGGCUGUAUUUCUCAUUCGAUCUGUUUCCUCUCCUCCAGAGAUGCAGAGAGAGGCACUUUGAUGUCCCUCAAAUCUCAUUAUGAGCUGGGGCUCUGGCUUGGCAGCGGGCAGGGCACAACUGAAGGGUUGUGAAAAUGGACGUGGCCCGGUCGCCAGGGGGGAACUCUUUGAGAGGCACAGCGCUCCAUCGAGGAGGCGCGCCUUGUUUAGUGCCGAUAGCCCAACUCGGCGUGAGAGGGAGACGCAGAAGUUAUCUACAAUCAGUCACACGACGAGUCGGAUGCGCACACUGAAGCGUUUCACACUGACAUCCUUUCCCCGGAGUUGGUGAAGACAAAGACAGUAAAUACGUCCCAAUGAAUACAGUGGCAUCAUUGCUCCAUCGGUGCUGGAUGUGUGAAUAUGGUAACGAGUACACCAUAACCAAACAAAGGUUAUUAGUCAGUGUUUUUCCCCAUUGUCUUCUUGUGGUUGGCUUCCAGCGUCACAACCCGCCCAUAUUUAACCAUAUUUUCACGGCUUGUUUACUUUUUAAUUACACCCAUCACUCAUGAGGCCCGUUAAUUCCUUAAUCAAUUCCAAAUAUUUCCACAACACAAUGCUGCUGCAAUAUAUUUAAUCUGGAAUAUGAUGCUUUGGUUUGGUUUUGGUUUUCAAUGUGCUGUGAUUCUUCUCUUAUACUGGAACAAAGAAAUGGCCUAAAAAUAGUCACGUCAGCCCUACAUUUAGCAAUCUAACAAAACUGCUUCUCAUUUGCAGAUUACUUUUGCAUCGUUGUUUGUGUUUUUUCGCUGCCAUGUAGUUGACCUCUGCAUCAAACCGGCCUUCAGGCUUUUAGGAACAAACCAAACCUCGGGGAGCCCGAACCAGCGGCCAUGUGACUGAAGGACGAGUUGCUCUCAUGGGUCUUUUUUUCCUGUGUUUGUGUCAUCAGCGUGAUCAGGAAGGAGGAAAAGAUCAUUUGUUAUUGUGGAUGAAUCAUCUGAAGGGGGGCAGUAAAAUCCGGUGCUGGGUGUUUGGGAUGCGAGAGGCAGUCCAGUCCCACUGCCGCUGGUACUGAACCUCAUUAACUAAAAAACAAAUCAAAAGAAUCCAAUAAAUUGGCCCCUAAAGAAAAAACACUAUGCAGUCAAUGGAUUAAACAGAAAAAUAGAAAAAAAGAACUAAUUAAUUGUACAUUUUGAAAUUCAUUAGUCACAAUUAAACGUUUGUUUUUUGUCUAAAUCUUAGAAAUUAACUAGUAAUAACUUUAGAAAGUGUGUGUUUUAUACACACAAAACUACAUAUUUGAACAUCUUCCUGCCGUCCUCGUGCACUUUUCUGUGCUCUAAACAGUCUUUUAGUUUAGAGCUGUGUUAAAAUAUUGCAUAUCACAUUAAUCUCGGCCACAAUAUUCACAUAGAUUAACGCUUUAAUUACACAGCCCUAAAAAUAACCAUUGGAACAUGAUGUUUUCCAGUCCUUUCCUCAGCGGCUUUUUAGAUUUUGAGGGUUAUAUUGGGAACAUUAAGAAGCAUUCAGGAGCCACUUUGUGAUGGAGUAUGGCCCCCAGAGGCCUGAGGUGUGAACCCAGAGAGGAAUCGUUAUCGUAAAAAGUCUCGACCGGCUCCAAAUGAAAUCAAUAAAUAACCACUUAAAUAAGCUCAGAAAAUAGCUCUAAAAUGAUGUAUAAAUACACCUAACAAGCACUAUUACGGACACUUAAUACUACGAGUAUCAUUACAUUCAAUUUUCCUUCAUUGGCCCAUUGUUCACAGCAAUCAGCUUCCUCCUGACAGCAGCAGUAAUUGCGCUGCGUGAGCUAAAUGGAGGCAGUUGCCUCUUGAUUACAAGUCUCCCUGUAGAGUCUUUAUCAUCCCAUAUCUGUUAAGCACUAUUAUCUUCUCCUCAUCGAACGUGUCUCUCCUGAAUGAACUGCACAUCACAGGUAGAGGCCAGUCCACCGUGGACAGAACCAGAUCCGGCUUCAGAGCUCCGGAGGGAGAAGGGGAGGUCAGC